Molecule: non-coding RNA, 75 nt
Organism: Macrobrachium nipponense
Lineage: Eukaryota; Metazoa; Arthropoda; Malacostraca; Decapoda; Palaemonidae
Source: the annotation of a RefSeq genome assembly
UACCUCGUAGCGCAGUGGUAGCGCACUCGGUUCGCCACCGAGAGACCCCGGGUUCAAAUCCCGGGCGAGGAGAAA